This 394-nucleotide ribosomal RNA is filed under the name uncultured Anaplasma sp. RNAcentral's name for it is "bacterial SSU rRNA". It matches the Rfam family "Bacterial small subunit ribosomal RNA", at positions 58 to 459 of the family's 1533-position model. The record is from RNAcentral. Lineage: Bacteria; Pseudomonadati; Pseudomonadota; Alphaproteobacteria; Rickettsiales; Anaplasmataceae.
UUUGUCGAAACCGGGAUAUUCUUUAUAGCUUGCUACGAGGAUAAUUAGUGGCAGACGGGUGAGUAAUGCAUAGGAAUCUACCUAGUAGUAUAGGAUAGCCACUAGAAAUGGUGGGUAAUACUGUAUAAUCCCUGCGGGGGAAAGAUUUAUCGCUACAUGAUGAGCCUAUGUUAGAUUAGCUAGUUGGUAGGGUAAAGGCCUACCAAGGCGAUGAUCUAUAGCUGGUCUGAGAGGAUGAUCAGCCACACUGGAACUGAGAUACGGUCCAGACUCCUACGGGAGGCAGCAGUGGGGAAUAUUGGACAAUGGGCGCAAGCCUGAUCCAGCUAUGCCGCGUGAGUGAGGAAGGCCUUAGGGUUGUAAAACUCUUUCAGUAGGGAAGAUAAUGCGGUAU